This is a long non-coding RNA of Epinephelus fuscoguttatus (brown-marbled grouper), 873 nucleotides long. RefSeq lists it as uncharacterized. The transcript has 3 exons. The record is from RefSeq and is a predicted model, not a curated record. Lineage: Eukaryota; Metazoa; Chordata; Actinopteri; Perciformes; Serranidae.
GGAGAAGAAGAAAAUCGGCGGUGUAAACAAACCGUUAGGCUAACUGUCUGGCUGUCGGGCUAACUGUCGGUGUUUCAGCGGGAUAAACGUUAAAUAAGAAGAUGGUGGCGUUCAGCAGACGGGACCUGGACCGGAUCUACUCUGUGCUGCUGCUCUCCAUCGUGAUCUUGUCCUGGUCUUAUGUGAUCUACGCCAGUAGGAUCGCAGCUCAUUGGCUGCUGGAGGAGAGGACCGCCCUCCUGCAGCAGCACUGACAGCCCAUUGGACGGCCCGAACAGGCUGACGAACCCUCUAAACCCUCCUGAGGUUCAGACCUCUGACUUGCAGAGAGACUCGACCUGCUGGACCACGUUAACAUUAAAACCACUCAGGACUAGACUGAACCUGAACCAGGACCUGGAAAUGCUUCCAGCCCGACGGGGUCUGAAUGGGAACGACUGCACUGAGACAAGACAAGGACUUAUGGGACAGUGUCUCUCAGACUGAUAUGAAGUGUGCGCUGCACAUGUGAGCAUUUUUGAUGAUGUCCUCCGUCCAGUCCUUUGGUCUUAUCACAUUUAACCAUAGUUGUCUUUGUUUUUGUUGACGGGCAGUGGCGGCUGGUUUUGAGCCAUGACUCCUUCUAUUCUGGCUCCCAAUAACACAACAAGACAAACACAUUUUAACACUCCUAUGGAGCCUACAGCCCUGUGGGGGAGAGGCAGCUGCACCUCCAGCUGAUCACAUGAUGUCAUUGUGACAUCGACACUCUGAGAGAGGAAGAUAAUAAAAUGACUUUAGCUCUGGUGUUGCAGCAGGGACCCUUCUGUUGUGUGGUUCAUGGUGUGUAAUAUUUGUCUCCGUGUGUUUUGAUAUUAAAGAGUUUUUCCAGUU